UACGUAGGGUGCGAGCGUUAAUCGGAAUUACUGGGCGUAAAGCGUGCGCAGGCGGCGCGUUAAGACAGGUGUGAAAGCCCCGAGCUUAACUUGGGAAUUGCGCUUGUGACUGGCGUGCUGGAGUGUGGCAGAGGGAUACGGAAUUCCAGGUGUAGCGGUGAAAUGCGUAGAUAUCUGGAGGAACACCGGUGGCGAAGGCGGCAUCCUGGACCGGCAUUGACGCUGAGGCGCGAAAGCGUGGGGAGCGAACAGG
This 253-nucleotide ribosomal RNA is filed under the name uncultured bacterium. RNAcentral describes it as "partial 16S ribosomal RNA". It matches the Rfam family "Bacterial small subunit ribosomal RNA", at positions 524 to 776 of the family's 1533-position model. The record is from RNAcentral.